Molecule: non-coding RNA, 5302 nt
Organism: Podarcis lilfordi (Lilford's wall lizard)
Lineage: Eukaryota; Metazoa; Chordata; Lepidosauria; Squamata; Lacertidae
Source: the annotation of a GenBank genome assembly
GGUGAAACAAUAACCACCAAUCAGCACAGGCAGGGCAACUUAUACAACAGGUACAUUUUGUAUACAUAAAACAUAAUGCAUGCUGUCUUGAGCUCCUAUGAGGAAAGGCAACUUAUAAGCAGAUUCUUAUUUUUAUUGGGCAGCAAAGCAGCCUCUGGAGGCUGAGGAUUUCAAUGGUAGAGCAGCUGGGGAGGGGCUACUUAACCCUUUCCCUUCCAGAUACUUUUCUAUUUGAAAAUGCUCCCUCCCUAAGCUGCUUUUGCUUGUUUGUGGUGUGGGGGCAGGGGAGGAUGUGGUGCAUUCAGCUGUAUCUUUUUCUUUGGGUGGUGAUCAGCAGCUUUGAGGUGGGAUUUUGAGUUUUAAGACAACGUUUUGGAAGGGUUAAAUAAUCCUCCACAGGCUAUUUUUAUUUUUUAUUUUUUUAAUAGUGCUGCAUGGAAUAUCCAUUUUGGCCCUAAGAAACAUUGUAAACAACAUCCUCUUCCUGUACCCCAAAUCUGAAGAUACAGUAUAAAUAUACGUAAAUGAUCUGCUGGAAGUGUAGCCAUUAUAAACCAAUCAGUAUGCUGUUUGGUUCUGAGCCAAUCUAAAGAGCUCUGUACUCAAAACGAAACAAUUGUGUUAUUAGGGCAGGUCAAUCACAUUGGCAUAAAGUUGUCAACAAUCAUGUUAGUUUUCCUUCCGUGAUCGGAGUGACUGAAUCCCAAGCCCUCAUUCCAAAAGCGCACUCAAUGGGUUUCGGAGUUCCACCGUCAGCUGAUCUCUAGUUAUAUCGUGGGCCUAAAGAAUUAUAUUCAGCUUAACAAUACAAAAGCAGAAGGGGGAAGGAAAAGAUACGAGGAUCUCUGUAUAAACACCUUAAUGCAGAUGUGAACUUGCAACCUUCACAUGUUUGUCAUUUACAAGAGUUUCAAGUCUGCCCAAAUCUGGUCAGAACCAGGGCCAGCUCAAGAGCCAGGAAGCCAAUAAGCUGGCAGAUGCUCUGAUGCCCACCUUUUAUCCCACUUUUCCUCCCAUUUGGAGAUCACAAGUGGCUGACAAACUCAGGAAUGAUGAUGAUGAUGCAUCAGAGGGAGAAAAGGGAAGCUGGUCUACUCCUCCCGCUUUGCUGAGACCAGCUGCUCAUGGUUUUUCUCCUUCAUCUGUCAGCCAACAGCAUCGAUUCCAUCAGGCUACCGGAGCUCUUUCCAUCCCAGCUGGCCACUGUAAAAACUGAUGCUGAAGUUUGCUCUCAUCCCCACCCCCAGCUGAAUCUCUUUAACCUUUUGUAACUUUCAAAUGAAGGACUUUAUACAAUUUUAAUAAAUAAAAUAAAUAAUAAACCUGAGGACAGGGACUGCCUUUUUUAUUGAUCAGUAAGUUGUUCUGGGACACUUUUUGCCAAAGAGUGGGAUUCUUAAAAUGCUUUAAAUAACAAACUGAGCAUUGAAACCAUGUUGAGCAGAGCAACUUAAAGCAGGGUUUACUCAGAGGUUAGUCCCCUUGUGUCCAAUGGAUCUUACUCUUGAGUAAACAUGUUUGCAGCCAUGUAGGAUAUUUCUGAGCAUGCUAAAUGGAACUUACCCCCAGGUAAGUGUGCAUGGGAUUAUUAAACAUGUUAUAAUAAUGCUUACCAUUGGGACAAUACUUUCAGAUAUUUAAAGUGCUUCACAUGCAUUAUUCAUUGUAAUCUUAAUAAGAACCGUGUAAAGCAGUAUUUGCCAACGUGAUGCUCUCUGGAUGUUUUGGACUACAACUCCCAUCAGCCUCCACCAGCGUGGCUAAUUAUAAGAGAUGGUUCAAACUGUAGUCCAAAACUUCUAGAGUUGGAGAAAUAAGUCAAUGCUACUAUCACCUUAUACUGCAAUCUAUGAAGUGCUAAGCCUACUUGUGAGCAGUAUGCUUUUGUACAGUAAUAACAGGUAGGAGACACCAAGUACAACGCAGGAGGUUGAAUUUUGCAUCAUCCAUGAACCAUAGGCAAGCUGCUCUCUCUCUCUGCCUCAGUCCUAUCUGCAGUAUAGAAGAUAAUAAACACUGUCAUCUUACAGGGUUGUUGUAAGGACUGCAACUAAAUAAUGGAUGUGAAGUGCUCUGAACACUUGAAAGCAACACAUCUGUAUUAAGUAAUACUAUUAUCAGCUCCCCAUGAAAUGUACUUCCAUUUCCUGGUUUGUUUGUUUUUUGUACCUAAGAAACUGUUCACAAGGCGGAUGGAUAUUAGAGAGAAGAGGGAUGGCAUCUGCAUUGUUCCAGCAAGUCUCUUCACCCCCCAGAUGCAUACAAUAGACAAGGUGGAGAAGAAGGGGAACGCACAUCCCAUUGAAAGUAAGCUGGACGUGCCUUUGAAUUUGGAUGCGGUCCCUCCUCACAGACUUUGAAGUGGAAUCUUAUUCAGAUAUACAUCUUGAAUGUACCCACCCCAGUGAUAACAUAACUACAGGGGACCAGAAAUGGAUCGAGGCUCUUUUACACUGCUGGGAUGACACACACUAUACAAUGACACAGAAAGGGGCCUUCUGUACAAAGGAGGGACCUUGCUUGUGGCAUGCUCUCCCUUUGGAAACACACUUGGUUGCUGACACUUCUGUCAUUUCAGCAGCAUGUAAAGACCCACCUGCUGCUCAGGCAUCUAGAGUAUUUUAGAGUAUGACCGAGAGUGAGUAGGCCACCUUGUACCUUUAAGCAGCAUUUUUCAUUUCAAUGAGUUCUUUCAAGGUGCCCUUACAUUGAUUUAUACUUUUGAUUGUUUUCAGCUGAUUUCAUUUAUUCAGUGUAUUUUUAAUGUGUGCGCUGCACCUUGACCUGAGAUCUAUUAUGAUGAUGAAGGGUGGGCUAAAAAAUAUCCUUAAAAAAUAAAUAAGACUCAAAAAUUGUCCUGCAGGGGUCCCUGGCCACUAACUAACCAGCUAGCAUGGUGUAGUGGUUAAGAGUGGUGGUUUUGUAAUCUGGUGAACUGGGUUUGCGUCUCUGCUCCUCCACAUGCAGCUGCUGGGUGACCUUGGGCUAGUCACACUUCUCUGAAGUCUCUCAGCCCCACUCACCUCACAGAGUGUUUGUUGUGGGGGAGGCAGGGAAAGGAGAAUGUUAGCCACUGAGACUCCUUCGGGUAGUGAUAAAGCGGGAUAUCAAAUCCAAACUCCUCCUCCUCCAUGGCUAGACAAAGCAAGUACACCUGUCCUUGCCUGAGCAAGUGGGGAUGGAGGUCUUUGUUUGCCCAGUAUAUCAGGGUUAUGAAUAGGCAAGAAUGCUAAUUCAAAAUGCAGUGUAUCCAUUUCUUUAGUAUGUUGAUACUCUAGGCUUUCCAUAAAAAUGCCCAAAACAAAAAAAAUCCACAUGAAAAAAGUGACCAAUAGAAACCCAUUUCAAAGUGCACCAGAAACUGAACUUCACUAAAGUGCCUCGCAUGAGAACAUGCACACACAGUGCUGGAUUUACGUAUAAGCUAAACAAGAUAUAGCUUAGGGCCCCACUCUCUUGGGGGCCCUCAAAAAAAUUAAAGGAAAGAAAGCUGGACAUACAUUUCCAAAAUAUAAGAUAAAAAACAAAUAAAAUAAAACCUACAUACAGCAACAGUGUUUGUGUUGUGUAGGCUCCUAUGAUGUAAGUAAUGAUGCAAGCCUCCUGUGAUGCAAGCCUGCUAGCCUGCUCCCUAAAAUAUCACUGGUUUGCUCAUUUCUAUAUACAGGGUGCCUACAUUCUGCAUGGACUGUUAUGUGCAAUUGGCUUUAAAAGGUAAAGGGACCCCUGACCAUUAGGUCCAGUCGUGGCCGACUCUGGGGUUGCUGCGCUCAUCUUGCUUUAUUGGGUGAGGGACCCGGCGUACAGCUUCUGGGUCAUAUGGCCAACAUGACUAAGCCGCUUCUGGCGAACCAGAGCAGUGCACGGAAACGCUGUUUACCUUCCCGCCAGAGUGGUACCUAUUUAUCUACUUGCACUUUGACGUGCUUCCGAACUGCUAGGUUGGCAGGAGCAGGGACCGAGCAAAGGAAGAUUACCCCGUUGCGGGGUUUCAAACUGCCGACCUUCUGAUCGGCAAGUCCUAGGCUCUGUGGUUUAACCCGCAGCGCCACCCGCGUCCCUUUGUAUACAAGCACCCUGUACAUAUUCUAUAUACAGGGUGCCUGCAUUCUGCAUGGACUGUUAUGUGCAAUUGGCUUUAGGUACCUAUAAUUAGGUCCAUAAAUUACCAUAUAGCAUAUAUUCAACACAAAAAAACAGCAACAAAUUGUUGUUGACAAAGGACAGCUGGGCAUAUAAAGGACCCCAUUACCUUCAUUUCCCCAUUACCAAUAUCGAGGGAGAAAGUAUGAGAGGACUAGCCUGAACCAACCUCCCAUCCAAGGGAAACUAAGCUUUGAAGCAGGCUGCCUAUUUGAUGCUUCCUUGUCACUGGGUUGCACUUUUUUGAGGGAGGUGAAGUGUAUAUUUAUCCACCUUUCUAGGGAUCAGCCUCCCAUUACACAACAAGGCAGAGCGGAGGGGUGGGGGGGAGCCAGAUUCCCCACCAGUAGCCUCCGGGAGUGCAAUUAAACCCUUGGGGGAGGGAAGGAGGGACCCCCUUGAAGCAGUCAUCAGCUCCUUCCUCUCUAACCCCCGAGUGCUUCAGCUCUCCCAAACCACAAGGACUUUGGAUGAUGGAGCUGGCGCCAGCAGGUUCCCUAAAGAGUUCAGAAGUCAAGAACUUGAGGCAGGUAGGGCGGGUGCGGCGGGGGAAACCCGAUCGCCUACAGACAAGGCGCUGCAGGAAGGAAGGGAAGGGGAAGAUCCUGCUGGCCAGAAGAGGGGGGAUCAGGGCCCUUUCUCUUGGGAGGGGAAGGAACAACAGGAUAUAGCCUCUGAGAGGCGCGGGGAGGGAGAGAGCUGCGUGUUAGCCUGUCUGGUUUGGCACGAGGAGGUCGCGUUUUCCCAUUGCUUCAAAUAGAAACGAGUGGCACUUUUCUCAAGCAGAAGUUCAGGAGGCUCAGCUUUGAAUGCUGGAAUGGGCCGCUGGCAGGGUUCUUCUUCUGUUAUUAUGUCAGAUACGUAGGGUUGCCAUAUUUCAAAGAGCAUUUGCCGACUUCUGCUUUUAGCUAUGGAUCGCUUUGACAACCGUGCCACCCAUGAAAAGGAGGACUUGUCCUGGAAAAAGAGUCCUGACUAAUUCGAGGAGUUCCUAAGGAUUAGCUCCAAGUACAGAGGCAUUCAGAUGUUCGGUUUUCAUUAAUGAGAAAGUCCUCGAAGAUCUUCCUCAUUCUCACACCUGUGUUUGCUGACAAUCUCGGGAUAAACAAGGCUUGUGGCCCUGCGUGUGGAUCACUGAGUAGUAGAAAUUAAAUGGCUG